CCCUCAGCCCGAGCUGAGGACACUCCGCGAUCCUUUACUCGCUCUAGGCUUCAGGCUCGGCGGAGCCACUGGGCAGCCUAGCGGGGUUGGGGGCAUCAGACACAGACCCCAACCGUCUAGUAGAACAACCCCUGGCCGGCUUGGCAAGCGGUUUGUGUUUUAUCUCCGCCUCUUUACACCCACGCCUGUUCCUAAAUCCCGCGUCAUAAACCCACCCCUUCCCAUUUACCGGUGAUCCUCAUCUCGCCCUCGGAGUCCACGGAGGUCCUCCCCUACACUGUGCCCUACAGCAGAUGAGCCGAAUCCUCGCUUCUGGACUGCCCACUCUCGGCCACUUAAGGGUUGAGGACAAUGAGACAGGCUUCGAGACGAUCUCCAACCUUCUCCAAGCAGUGGUUUAUUUUCCAGAUUCUUCUGCUGAAAUGCUUCAGGAAGCUCACCUCUAGCCCCAUUUUACUGCCUUGAGCAUGAAGCCCACCCCAUUCUGGAAGUCAUUAGUGCAAAAGCUACGCAUCGAAAAUCAUGCUGUGGGACUCAAAUCAAGAUGCAGGAAUGGAAGGAUGUGGAACGCACCUCCUCCCCAUGAGCUCAUCAAAAAUACAUCUACAUGUGGAACAAUUCUCACCAAAAACUAACUGGAGACUAGGAGAAAGGUUUGUACAAACAAAGGAAUAAGGAACAUUCACAUGGCAUCUGGUAUGAAGGAAAAGAAGUAAUCAUGUAAGGACCUGUUCCUCUGGGAGGUGAUUCAGCAAAAAAAAAAAAAAAAAAAGGAUUACACUGGUGGAGACCCUCUCUCAGGAGUGAAUGAUUUGAGCAACAUGUUGGGUGCCCUAGCCUUUGGGGUCUGAGAAAAAGAAGAUGAGACCACUUGAUUGGAGGGCUGGUAGGACUAAUUGGAGGGCUGUGGAAAGCCUGUACUCCACUCAUGUGGAGUACACACAUGAUUCUUUGCUCCAGAAGUAUGGCAGAUGGAUGGAUUGAAAUUGCAUGGGUAUCUGUCUGGUUUCCUAUGACUAUCCUGGGUGUGCCCCAUUUGAGCCAAGCAAAUGCUCCAGCCCUACUUUUCAGCACCGUAGUAUCACAGUAGAUCAAGGACCACCACAAUCAAGAAAAAAACUUGGCCAUGAGACUUCAAGGUGGCUCAAACCCUAAGCUGCAUCUUAGCCAGGAGUGGGGAGCCAUUACUGGCAAUUGUAUAAGUGGCAUACCAGAAGGUGACCAGAUCUUUGAUGGCUACUAGAUUGCCACAGUCAGUGCCUGAAACCUUGCUGAAUAUCUAAAACAGACAUUUGUGCUCCACCACUGCCCCUUCAGAGUGAAGGUGCUGGUGCUUGGGCAGUGAAGAACACACCUUAAAGGAAACUGAGCCAACUCAAAAUUGAACUUCAGGACUUCUGCUUCAAAACCCUGGGACUUGACUCCACUGACUCCACCCCUGUUGGGGCAGUAAUGGCCACCAUUUCACACUUGGCUCAAAUUUAGCCACUCCAUCUCCAACCCUAUCUUCUACUGAGGUGAUAGCUGCCAGCCUUACCUGAGGGCACAUGUGACUUCUGUCCAUGUCAAAUCCAGCUCUCCCGACAAAACCACUGAGCACCUGCAGACAAUAUAGGGAUGUUCCCAACAGGAAAUCCCAUCAAUAUUGACAUAGGUAACUGUUUCAUCUAUAUUCAUAGAGACAGAAAGAGUUUAAGCAAAAUGAAAAGAAAGUGAAAAACUGAUUUCAACUGAUAAUUCCUAAUAAAAAAGAACUAAUAAAAAAGAAAUAGAUAAUUUACCAGAAAAAGAAUUCAAAGCAUUAGAGACAAGAAUGCUAAUUGAAUUAGGGAAAAGAAGAGGUAAACACAGUGAGAAUUUUAAUAAGGAACUAAAAAAUACAUAAAAAAAGAAUGAGUCAAAACAUAAGAAUAUAGUAAAUAAAACAAAAGACACAGUAGAAGGAAUGAAUAGCAGAGUACGUGACACAGAAAAAUACACACAUUAUCUGGGAUUUAGAAUUUUGGAAAUCAAACAGAAUAGCAAAAAGAAAAGCAAUUUUAAAAAUGGUAACAGUUUAAAGGAUAUUUGAGAUAACAGGAAGUGAACCAACAUUUGCAUUAUAGGGGUUCUAAAAAGAUAGAGAAAGAAAAGUGAUUUUAAAAUUAAUUUAAUGAAGUUAUGGCUGAAAUCUCUUAAAACCUGAAGAGGGAAACAGAUACCCAGGUACAGGAAGUACAGAGAAUCCCAAACAAAAUGACCUGAGACAGGCACAGCCCACACUAAU
Bos grunniens (domestic yak) is the source of this 2266-nucleotide long non-coding RNA. The record is from Ensembl. NCBI's taxonomy places the organism in Eukaryota, Metazoa, Chordata, Mammalia, Artiodactyla, Bovidae.